AAUAGAUACCCGGGUAGUCCACGCCGUAAACGAUGAGUGCUAAGUGUUAGAGGGUUUCCGCCCUUUAGUGCUGCAGCUAACGCAUUAAGCACUCCGCCUGGGGAGUACGGCCGCAAGGCUAGAAACUCAAAGGAAUUGGACGGGGGCCCGCACAAGCGGUGGAGCAUGUGGUUUAAUUCGAAGCAACGCGAAGAACCUUACCAGGUCUUGACAUCCUCUGCCAACCCUAGAGAUAGGGCGUUCCCCUUCGGGGGACAGAGUGACAGGUGGUGCAUGGUUGUCGUCAGCUCGUGUCGUGAGAUGUUGGGUUAAGUCCCGCAACGAGCGCAACCCUUGAUCUUAGUUGCCAGCAUUCAGUUGGGCACUCUAAGGUGACUGCCGGUGACAAACCGGAGGAAGGUGGGGAUGGACGUCAAAUCAUCAUGCCCCUUAUGACCUGGGCUACACACGUGCUACAAUGGAUGGUACAAAGAGCUGCGAACCCGUGAGGGUAAGCGAAUCUCAUAAAGCCAUUCUCAGUUCGGAUUGUAGG
This 532-nucleotide ribosomal RNA is filed under the name uncultured bacterium. RNAcentral's name for it is "bacterial SSU rRNA". It matches the Rfam family "Bacterial small subunit ribosomal RNA", at positions 777 to 1304 of the family's 1533-position model. The record is from RNAcentral.